GCCGCAUGGCUUUUCCGCCAAAUGCGAAGGACAGGGAUGGGGAUGCGUUCCAUUAGGCAGCAGGCGGGGUAACGGCCCACCUGGCCGGCGAUGGAUAGGGGUUCUGAGAGGAAGGUCCCCCACACUGGAACUGAGACACGGUCCAGACUCCUACGGGAGGCAGCAGUGAGGAAUAUUGGUCAAUGGGCGGAAGCCUGAACCAGCCAAGUAGCGUGCGGGAUGAAGGCCCUACGGGUUGUAAACCGCUUUUGCGCGGGGAUAAAGAGAGGCACGUGUGCCUCGUUGCAGGUACCGCGCGAAUAAGGACCGGCUAAUUCCGUGCCAGCAGCCGCGGUAAUACGGAAGGUCCGGGCGUUAUCCGGAUUUAUUGGGUUUAAAGGGAGCGCAGGCGGGAUGUCAAGUCAGCCGUUAAACGGCCCGGCUCAACCGGGUCUUGCGGUUGAAACUGGCGUCCUUGGGUUCACAAAAGGCAGGCGGAACUCGUGGUGUAGCGGUGAAAUGCAUAGAUAUCACGAAGAACCCCGAUUGCGAAGGCAGCCUGCCGGGGUGCUACCGACGCUCAUGCUCGAAGGCGCGGGUA
Molecule: ribosomal RNA, 580 nt
Filed under: uncultured rumen bacterium
Lineage: Bacteria
Description: bacterial SSU rRNA
Rfam family: Bacterial small subunit ribosomal RNA
Source: RNAcentral